This 460-nucleotide ribosomal RNA is filed under the name uncultured bacterium. RNAcentral describes it as "partial 16S ribosomal RNA". It matches the Rfam family "Bacterial small subunit ribosomal RNA", at positions 338 to 795 of the family's 1533-position model. The record is from RNAcentral.
CCUACGGGAGGCAGCAGUGAGGAAUAUUGGUCAAUGGGCGCGAGCCUGAACCAGCCAAGUAGCGUGAAGGAUGACUGCCCUACGGGUUGUAAACUUCUUUUAUAAAGGAGUAAAGUGAGGCACGUGUGCCUCUUUGUAUGUAUUUUAUGAAUAAGGAUCGGCUAACUCCGUGCCAGCAGCCGCGGUAAGACGGAGGAUCCGAGCGUUAACCGGAUUUAUUGGGUUUAAAGGGAGCGUAGAGGGGUUGUUAAGUCAGUUGUGAAAGUUUGCGGCUCAACCGUAAAAGUGCAAUUGAUACUGGCAGUCUUGAGUGCAGGUGAGGUAAGCGGAAUUCGUGGUGUAGCGGUGAAAUGCUUAGAUAUCACGAAGAACCCCGAUUGCGAAGGCAGCUUGCUGAACUGUGACUGACAUUGAUGCGCGAAAGUGUGGGUAUCAAACAGGAUUAGAUACCCCUGUAGUC